Molecule: ribosomal RNA, 499 nt
Filed under: uncultured Glomeromycotina
Lineage: Eukaryota; Fungi; Glomeromycota
Description: partial small subunit ribosomal RNA
Rfam family: Eukaryotic small subunit ribosomal RNA
Source: RNAcentral
CCAAUAGCGUAUAUUAAAGUUGUUGCAGUUAAAAAGCUCGUAGUUGAAUUUCGGGAUCAAUUUAUCGGUCGUGCAAUUGUACGUACUGAUUUUAUUGAUUCCUCCCUUCUGAUGAACUAUGAUGUCAUUAAUUUGGUGUCAUAGGGAAUCAGGACUGUUACUUUGAAAAAAUUAGAGUGUUUAAAGCAGGCUCACGCUUGAAUACAUUAGCAUGGAAUAACGGAAUAGGACGUUUGAUUCUAUUUUGUUGGUUUCUAGGAUCGACGUAAUGAUUAAUAGGGAUAGUUGUGGGCAUUAGUAUUCAAUUGUCAGAGGUGGAAUUCUUGGAUUUAUUGAAGACUAACUACUGCGAAAGCAUUUGCCAAGGAUGUUUUCAUUAAUCAAGAACGAAAGUUAGGGGAUCGAAGACGAUCAGAUACCGUCGUAGUCUUAACCAUAAACUAUGCCGACUAGGGAUCGGAUGAUGUUAAUUUUUUAAUGACUCAUUCGGCGCCUUACG